CGGGGGGGCGAAGCGUUGUUCGGAAUUACUGGGCGUAAAGGGCUCGUAGGCGGCCAACUAAGUCAGACGUGAAAUCCCUCGGCUUAACCGGGGAACUGCGUCUGAUACUGGAUGGCUUGAGUUUGGGAGAGGGAUGCGGAAUUCCAGGUGUAGCGGUGAAAUGCGUAGAUAUCUGGAGGAACACCGGUGGCGAAGGCGGCAUCCUGGACCAACACUGACGCUGAGGAGCGAAAGCCAGGGGAGCAAACGGGAUUAGAUACCCCGGUAGUCCUGGCCCUAAACGAUGAAUGCUUGGUGUGACGGGUAUCGAUCCCUGUCGUGCCGAAGCUAACGCAUUAAGCAUUCCGCCUGGGGAGUACGGUCGCAAGGCUG
Molecule: ribosomal RNA, 372 nt
Filed under: uncultured organism
Description: bacterial SSU rRNA
Rfam family: Bacterial small subunit ribosomal RNA
Source: RNAcentral